This 479-nucleotide ribosomal RNA is filed under the name uncultured bacterium. Its description in RNAcentral is "bacterial SSU rRNA". It matches the Rfam family "Bacterial small subunit ribosomal RNA", at positions 328 to 793 of the family's 1533-position model. The record is from RNAcentral.
UCAGUCGACUCCUACGGGGAGGCAGCAGUGGGGGAAUAUUGCACAAUGGGCGCAAGCCUGAUGCAGCCAUGCCGCGUGUGUGAAGAAGGCCUUCGGGUUGUUAAAGCACUUUCAGUCGUGAGGAAGGUAGUGUAGUUAAUAGCUGCAUUAUUUGACGUUAGCGACAGAAGAAGCACCGGCUAACUCCGUGCCAGCAGCCGCGGUAAUACGGAGGGUGCGAGCGUUAAUCGGAAUUACUGGGCGUAAAGCGCAUGCAGGUGGUUUGUUAAGUCAGAUGUGAAAGACCCGGGGCUCAACCUCGGAAUUGCAUUUGAAACUGGCAGACUAGAGUACUGUAGAGGGGGGUAGGAAUUUCAGGUGUAGCGGUGAAAUGCGUAGAGAUCUGAAGGAAUACCGGUGGCGAAGGCGGCCCCCUCGGACAGAUACUGACACUCAGAUGCGAAAGCGUGGGGAGCAAACAGGAUUAGAUACCCUGGUAG